This 732-nucleotide ribosomal RNA is filed under the name Cremastobaeus sp. OSUC 534626. RNAcentral's name for it is "partial 28S ribosomal RNA". It matches the Rfam family "Eukaryotic large subunit ribosomal RNA", at positions 554 to 912 of the family's 3401-position model. The record is from RNAcentral. Lineage: Eukaryota; Metazoa; Arthropoda; Insecta; Hymenoptera; Scelionidae.
CCCGAAAGAUCGAACGAGGAGAUUCAUCGUCAGCGCAUGGUCGACUUUCAUGCGGUCGUGAUGUGGGCGYCUCGUGCGUCUUAUUACGCGUCCGCUGUGGAUGUUCGGCCGCGUCGUCGUGCACUUCUCCUCUGGUAGAACGUCGCGACCCGCUGGGUGUCGGUUUAAGGGCCGAGGUCGUCGACUGUACCGUCGCUUCGGCGCUCGGUUGCAGACGCUCGGUUCCCAAUCGGCUGCUCGGCGGUAUUCGCAAGGUAUCGAGCCGCACUUGAAUGCGUUCAGACGAGUCGCAAGCCCGAUCAUCAUUUCGGCGAGUUCGGACCUAGUGCCGGGCCCGCUGGGUUGGUCGGCUGUUGGCAGGCUAUGCUCUCGAACAGGCUAAACUUGAAUAACGAUACCGGUCAGCGACGCUAUCGCUUUGGGUACUUUCAGGACCCGUCUUGAAACACGGACCAAGGAGUCUAACAUGUGCGCGAGUCAUUGGGAUGUURAAACCUAAAGGCGCAUUGAAAGAAAAGAUCGGCCUCGCGUCGGUUGAGGGAGGAUGGGCGGCGUCAAGGUGCCGCUCCGCACUCCCGGGGCGUCUCUUAAAGUCAUCGCGACUUGAGGCGCUCCCAGAGCGUACACGUUGGGACCCGAAAGAUGGUGAACUAUGCCUGGUCAGGAUGAAGUCAGGGGAAACCCUGAUGGAGGUCCGCAACGCAUCUGACGUGCAAAUCGAUCGUCGGAACC